CAUUAGAUGACUGAAAGUAAGUAUUGAUCUCUUAAAUCAACAAUAGUAAUUUACACCUACUUCUAAUGA
Molecule: transfer RNA, 69 nt
Filed under: Scydmaeninae sp. 840218
Lineage: Eukaryota; Metazoa; Arthropoda; Insecta; Coleoptera; Staphylinidae
Description: tRNA-Lys
Source: RNAcentral